RNAcentral lists this long non-coding RNA (204 nucleotides) under Musa acuminata (dwarf banana). RNAcentral describes it as "long non-coding RNA (MACU_LNC000467)". Lineage: Eukaryota; Viridiplantae; Streptophyta; Magnoliopsida; Zingiberales; Musaceae. The record is from RNAcentral.
UUUCAGCAUACCAUGCAAGUGUCGAUUGUUUUCGGAAGACUAUUACUUUCUCACCUCUAGAUCAACCACCUUUCAAGUUCAUUGGGAUUCAAGAAAAGUUUCCUUCUAUUAUUUCAGCCUUGAGUGCUACCCAACUAUUACUGAAGGGAUGUCAGGGAUACUUGGCCUUCAUUUCUGGAGAAGAAUCUAAGAAGCCAGUAUUAA